This 865-nucleotide ribosomal RNA is filed under the name uncultured bacterium. RNAcentral's name for it is "bacterial SSU rRNA". It matches the Rfam family "Bacterial small subunit ribosomal RNA", at positions 34 to 883 of the family's 1533-position model. The record is from RNAcentral.
CGCUGGCGGCAGGCCUAACACAUGCAAGUCGGACGGUAACAGGAGAGAAGCUUGCUUUUCUUGCUGACGAGUGGCGGACGGGUGAGUAACGCGUGGGAAUCUACCCUUUAGUUGGGGACAACAUAUGGAAACGUAUGCUAAUACCGAAUAUGCUCUACGGAGUAAAGGUGCCCUCUCCUUGGAAGGUAUCGCUAAAGGAUGAGCCCGCGUUAGAUUAGCUAGUUGGUAGGGUAAAGGCCUACCAAGGCGACGAUCUAUAGCUGGUUUGAGAGGAUGAUCAGCCACACUGGGACUGAGACACGGCCCAGACUCCUACGGGAGGCAGCAGUGGGGAAUAUUGCACAAUGAGGGAAACCUUGAUGCAGCCAUGCCGCGUGUGUGAAGAAGGCCCGAGGGUUGUAAAGCACUUUCAAUUGUGAGGAAGAUUAAGUAGCUAAUACCUGCUUAGUUUGACGUUAACUUUAGAAGAAGCACCGGCUAACUCUGUGCCAGCAGCCGCGGUAAUACAGAGGGUGCAAGCGUUAUUCGGAAUUACUGGGCGUAAAGCGCGCGUAGGCGGACUGUUAAGUCGGUUGUGAAAGCCCUGGGCUCAACCUAGGAACUGCAUCCGAUACUGGCAAUCUAGAGUUUAAGAGAGGGAAGUGGAAUUCCAGGUGUAGCAGUGAAAUGCGUAGAUAUCUGGAGGAACAUCAGUGGCGAAGGCGACUUCCUGGCUUAAAACUGACGCUGAGGUGCGAAAGCUUGGGUAGCGAACGGGAUUAGAUACCCCGGUAGUCCAAGCCGUAAACGAUGUCAACUAGCUGUUGGUCUUAUUAAAAAGAUUAGUAGCGCAGCUAACGCGAUAAGUUGACCGCCUGGGGAGUAC